This is a long non-coding RNA of Lutra lutra (Eurasian river otter), 632 nucleotides long. RefSeq lists it as uncharacterized. The record is from RefSeq and is a predicted model, not a curated record. The transcript has 2 exons. NCBI's taxonomy places the organism in Eukaryota, Metazoa, Chordata, Mammalia, Carnivora, Mustelidae.
UCUCCUCCAUGAACUAUCUUAACUUUAUAAUAAGGAUAAGGAGAUAGAAGUCAUUAAAGAGUUUCGUUGUCACCAGCCCGCGGAUGUCCAUUCUGAUUCGGCGGAGAGCGAGACGAUGGGCUUUUUAACAAGUUUUAAUAACUCAGGCUUUUUAGCGAGAAUAUUCACUCUGAUGCCCGGACACCUCCUGUCUUCAGAGUUACAGGCUUCUCAGAGAUCAAGGCGCCUUUCACAGACUUGACUGUUUCCUGGUGAGAUGAAAGAGGGCCCACCAGGGGCCGGCUGUGCCAGCCUCAUGUCCGAGACAAGACGCGCCUUUCAUCACGGGAGACAGGACACCAGCCGGGAUGGGAAUCGGCUAGAAAGUUUGGACGAUGCUUGGCAGACCCCUCUGGCCGUUUAGAGAGACAACAUGAAGUCCCUGUCCUCCUGAGCUGGUCUACUGCUGGGAAGCAGGUGUGGGGGCAGCAGGCCCCCCACCUGGACUCAGCCUGGUCUUGAUACAAACAGCCACAGACUUCACUGCGACACGUACCUUCUCCUUACCCAGAUCCCUAACAGAUUUAAUUUAAUGCUAGUUCGCCCCUGACAACCAGUCCUGCAGCCGGAAAAGAAAUACUAUUUCUGCGUGA